Non-coding RNA from Brachypodium distachyon (stiff brome), 78 nucleotides. Lineage: Eukaryota; Viridiplantae; Streptophyta; Magnoliopsida; Poales; Poaceae. The record is from RefSeq and is marked provisional.
GCCUCUAGACUGGUUGGGCUUAGAUGGGUCCUCAGCCGGCCCGGAUGGACCCAUCUAAACCAAGCCAUUCGGAGCCGG